GACGAACGCUGGCGGCUUGCUUAACACAUGCAAGUCGAACGGAAAGGCUCUGCUUUUGUGGGGUGCUCGAGUGGCGAACGGGUGAGUAACACGUGAGUAACCUGCCCUUGACUUUGGGAUAACUUCAGGAAACUGGGGCUAAUACCGGAUAGGAGCUCCUGCUGCAUGGUGGGGGUUGGAAAGUUUCUGCGGUUGGGGAUGGACUCGCGGCUUAUCAGCUUGUUGGUGGGGUAGUGGCUUACCAAGGCUUUGACGGGUAGCCGGCCUGAGAGGGUGACCGGCCACAUAGGGACUGAGAUACGGCCCAGAAUCCUACGGGAGGAAGCAGUGGGGAAGAUUGCACAAUGGGCGGAAGCCUGAUGCAGCAACGCGGCGUGAGGGAUGAAGGCCUUCGGGUUGUAAACCGCUUUCGCCUGUGACGAAGCGUGAGUGACGGUAAUGGGUAAAGAAGCACCAGCUAAAUAAGUG
RNAcentral lists this ribosomal RNA (468 nucleotides) under uncultured bacterium. RNAcentral describes it as "partial 16S ribosomal RNA". It matches the Rfam family "Bacterial small subunit ribosomal RNA", at positions 28 to 507 of the family's 1533-position model. The record is from RNAcentral.